GGUCAAGCUACAAAGGGCUCACGGAGGAUACCUAGGCACACAGAGGCGAUGAAGGACGUGGUUACCUGCGAUAAGUCUCGGGGAGUUGGAAGCACACUUUGAUCCGGGAAUUUCCGAAUGGGGCAACCCCUUGUACGACCAACUGAAUAUAUAGGUUGGUGCGAGCUAA
Molecule: ribosomal RNA, 169 nt
Filed under: uncultured cyanobacterium
Lineage: Bacteria; Bacillati; Cyanobacteriota
Description: partial 23S ribosomal RNA
Rfam family: Bacterial large subunit ribosomal RNA
Source: RNAcentral